RNAcentral lists this long non-coding RNA (1398 nucleotides) under Sarcophilus harrisii (Tasmanian devil). RNAcentral describes it as "lncRNA (ENSSHAG00000021454.1)". Lineage: Eukaryota; Metazoa; Chordata; Mammalia; Dasyuromorphia; Dasyuridae. The record is from RNAcentral.
GGUGGAAGGAUUAUCUGACUUUGAAGAGGUCUUUCUUUACAAAGAAAUGUGACUAGGAGCAGCCAGGGUCAGCCUGACAAGGUUAAAGGAUGGAGCCUCCCAUCUUAGUUUGUUCUUCAGCUUUCUCUCCUAAGUUAGUCAGUAGUCAGUCAACACGCACUGUUCCAGAUUUGGUGUGAGACAACUUUAGCUACUUUUAUAGAACAAGUUCAUGGGUGCAAUUUAGAGCUACAACAAUUGUGGCAAGUGACCAGGGCAAGGAACCCAGGACUCCAUUCUGUCCCAAGAUGGCAUGUUCAAAGUUCCAAGCAUAGUGUUGAUGAAGAUGAACACACUAUGCAUAAGAAGCCCUAUUCAGAACAAGGGAUUCUCAUCUUUUCAUGCAAUUAAAUUGGUCAGACCACUCUUGGGUACAUCCUUACUUCUAAAAAAUGGAGAUAAUACUGUUGAGGGUUUUCCAAGCUCCUGGGGGAAUCACACUCUUAGACCUGGACUGUACCCAAUCACCCUCCACCCCUCAACUGCCAUUUCCCCUGUGCAAAAUGCAUCAUGGGCACUACUCACAUUUUGUGUGCCUGUCACAAAGGGCUGAUGCCCUCAUGUCACACAGUCGGAUUGUCCCUUUACUGCUGCUGUAUACAAAGGUGUUGCAGUGGAGUGGGUGGAAUUCUGCCGCCGUUAUGACCUCCGUGAGCUCCUCCAUGUUGGCUGGCUUAAUGUCCACGAUAUCUGACACAGGCAGGUCAAGGAAGGAACCAGAUACAAGGGUGUUUCAAAGAUAUCCUUGUCCAUGGGAAACUUUAUAAUGACCAUCAACGUCUGACCUACAGGGCGGAGAGCAAUUUGAGGAAGAAGCAAUUAGGUGUUUGGAUACCUGUGUUUAAAGAACACUCUACAAGGCAACAGGAAAAAUAGGACCUGUAGGCACCGCCCAUCAUUCCAGGACAUUGUCCGGUGCUUGGAAUUUCCCAGGGCUACUGAAGUGGGGGAGGGAGCACGACAGCUGGAUCAGGCACCUCCAGAACAUAGAAACUGCCAGGCCAGAAUCUCCACUUAAUGUGAUGAGCCUGUCUGAUAAUUCAGACUGACACAUUCAAUGAGGCAUUAUUUCCCAUUGAAAGUCUCUGGGUAGCCACUGAGGUGUGGGGGCUCAGGUUUUGCCAAGAGAGGAUGGGAAGUGACCCGUUGUGGAUACCUUCCUCUACUAUCUGUGGUGCAAAAGUAAAGGUCUGACUUGUGGGGUCCCCACACAUGGAGUAAAAGAAGGAUGUGACAGCCAGACACAUAAAUUGGGGUGAGGGAGGGGUGGAUAUGCUCUGAAUAAAACUGCUAUUUCCUACCUGCUCUGGCCAUCAUUUCUCCAAAAGACAAGAAGUUAUCCUUCCCAAAUAUAGGAAU